GGGGAUUUAGCUCAGUGGUGCAGUGCCUGCCUGACAAGCAUGAGGUUCUGAGUUCAAUUCCCAGUAACCA
This 70-nucleotide transfer RNA is filed under the name Cavia porcellus (domestic guinea pig). It matches the Rfam family "tRNA". Rfam says of the family: Transfer RNA (tRNA) molecules are approximately 80 nucleotides in length. Their secondary structure includes four short double-helical elements and three loops (D, anti-codon, and T loops). Lineage: Eukaryota; Metazoa; Chordata; Mammalia; Rodentia; Caviidae. The record is from Rfam by way of RNAcentral.